CCGGCCUAGCUCAAUUGGUAGAGCAACUGACUUGUAAUCAGUAGGUUGGGGGUUCAAGUCCUCUGGCCGGCACC
RNAcentral lists this transfer RNA (74 nucleotides) under Staphylococcus aureus. RNAcentral's name for it is "tRNA-Thr". It matches the Rfam family "tRNA". Rfam says of the family: Transfer RNA (tRNA) molecules are approximately 80 nucleotides in length. Their secondary structure includes four short double-helical elements and three loops (D, anti-codon, and T loops). Further hydrogen bonds mediate the characteristic L-shaped molecular structure. tRNAs have two regions of fundamental functional importance: the anti-codon, which is responsible for specific mRNA codon recognition, and the 3' end, to which the tRNAs corresponding amino acid is attached (by aminoacyl-tRNA synthetases). tRNAs cope with the degeneracy of the genetic code in two manners: having more than one tRNA (with a specific anti-codon) for a particular amino acid; and 'wobble' base-pairing, i.e. permitting non-standard base-pairing at the 3rd anti-codon position. Lineage: Bacteria; Bacillati; Bacillota; Bacilli; Caryophanales; Staphylococcaceae. The record is from RNAcentral.